AUCUACAAAGAGCUACCAGGUUGCUUAUCAGGCUCAUGUCCUGAGGGUUAUAGGUUCAAAUCCUAUUGCAGAUU
RNAcentral lists this transfer RNA (74 nucleotides) under Ishige okamurae. RNAcentral describes it as "tRNA-Met". It matches the Rfam family "tRNA". Rfam says of the family: Transfer RNA (tRNA) molecules are approximately 80 nucleotides in length. Their secondary structure includes four short double-helical elements and three loops (D, anti-codon, and T loops). Further hydrogen bonds mediate the characteristic L-shaped molecular structure. tRNAs have two regions of fundamental functional importance: the anti-codon, which is responsible for specific mRNA codon recognition, and the 3' end, to which the tRNAs corresponding amino acid is attached (by aminoacyl-tRNA synthetases). tRNAs cope with the degeneracy of the genetic code in two manners: having more than one tRNA (with a specific anti-codon) for a particular amino acid; and 'wobble' base-pairing, i.e. permitting non-standard base-pairing at the 3rd anti-codon position. The record is from RNAcentral. Lineage: Eukaryota; Phaeophyceae; Ectocarpales; Ishigeaceae.